UGCAGUUUUAAGGAAUAUGCGCCGCUCAAGUGUAGGACUUCAUUACAUUGACAUUACAGCAACUGGCAACUGUACCGUGUCCAGUAUAAUUGAUUGAAUCAAUAACAUCCGCCACUAUAAACAAAUUUUAAAUUUUGUUGUAGUUUGAUCUGCAUCCUUGAAUAUCACAAAAAACUUGCACCUAUGGCUUAUAUAUUGACCAAAUGGAUUUUCAAAGCGUGUACCUAGUUCCCACUUCAUCUCACUCUAACAAAUUUAGCUCAUUGAGCUUUCUGAUGCAUCACAAUCAACUGCUGGUCUGCCAUGGCUGUGAACAGCCUCAAAGGCCUGAGCAGAAGCACUUGAAAAUCCCAUUAAUGCCUGGAAUACAUUAGGGAGGCCUGUUUGCAGUUUGUUUAGAGUCAUGACUCUGGUAACCUGGACUGAGUUCAAAUAUUUAGUCUUCUCGGAGUCUAGCCGUUUCUUUAAGGCUUCAGUUUUGGCAAGCUUAAGCGACAAGGGAUUUUUAGGGCUCAAAUCAGAUUGCAUAUCUCCAUCAGUAGAACUCCAAUUAACCUUUUUCUCCAUUUCAGCAAGGGAGAUUAACUCCUUCUGAAAUCUUCUCUCCAGUUUAUCAGAUUUUUUGUGUAGGUUGUGUUCCUCUGUCUGCUGCAGCAUUAUCAUUUGGAUGGCAUCCAAAAAGCUUUUAAUGGCCUCUGAGGCUAUCUGUAUAAAGAAUUCACAUAUCAAAAGGAGAGAAAUAUUUAAUGCACUAAAUGCACGAAGCGCAUUACAGAAUCAAUCCUAUGUUACAGUUCAUCACUGAAAGAAAGACUGAAAAAACAUUCCAUGCAGAUGGAGAGUUGUGAUCAUACAUGGUGGAUUUUGUGCUAGGAAGUUGCUUAGGAAAACAUGCUUCGGCAAUCACGAAUUCAGAACUCUGGCUGUUAAUCAUUUAACCAUGUAAGGAUUACAUUAGAUCGGAAAAUUAAAUCUACCCACCAACUAUUCAACUUAUACUCCAGUCUGGCAGAUCCUCUGGCAUACGACCCAACAUAUUUAAAAAUUCAUUGAUUCAGGAGUGACCCCAACACAAUAAGGUAUCUUAAAGAUAAACAAAAAUAAACUAGGAAGGCUUAUUAAUCAUUCAUAUGUAACUUCUAACAAUAUGCAAAGCUACAUGAAACUAAAAUCAAUCCACUGCUUUAACAGCAUUUGUACAUGUAAGUCAACAGUUAAGCAGAGAGGCAGCAUCACAUUUAUGAUAAACAAAUAAUAAAUUAGGUCACUAUACUUGCAUUGAAAUUUAAAGUUGAAUGUCAUUUAUACAAUUUCUAAGAAAAAUAAUAUAAAAACUAGCAACAACCAAAGGAAGCAUUUUUGUAAUACUAAGUUUUCAAACCUGACCCAAUCAUUAAAAUGGUGAAAAUAAAGGAUUAAGAAUUUAAGAUUGAACUAGGGUUGAACUGGUAUACUAUUAAAUAAAUAUUAACUAUAUAUUAUAAAAUUAAUAAUCUCUUAAAAAUAAUAAUAAUAAUGCAUUUUACCAUCAUUAAUUUAAUAUAUUUAUAAAUAAUUAUUAAUUAAUUUCAUUAUAGUUAGAGAGAGAAUAGAAAAGAGGUAAAUGGUAAUUUUUUAAUAGAUAGGGGUAAAAGGGUAAUUUUAUUCUUUUUAAUGUGGAAACUUAUUGUUGCAGGUUAGAGAGAUUUUUUUUAAAACAAAAAAAAACACUUCUCAAGAAGAAAAUCUUGGACAAAGAACAAACAAUAAGAAGCAUGUCAACUGGAUGACAGGAUUUGGAUAUACUUAUUCAAGGUGCAAAUAACCCAUAUUGAAAUUACUGUAUAGACUUGCAACUUCAGGCCUUCAUGGAAUUUGACUCAAAUAACUACCAGACCAAAAUGCAAAGGAACUAAACAAAAAUAAGAUACCAUGGACUUAGGCCUCCAACAAAGACAACUGUGCUCAGGGCCAUGCAUUUUUGUCCCGCACCACCAAAGCCAGCAGCAACUAGAGCAUGUAAAGUAGCAUCCACAUUUGCAUCAGGCAUGACAACUGCAUGAUUUUUUGCUCCAAUAUUGGACUGGAUGCGUUUUCCUUUAGCUGAUGCCCUUGCAUACACAUAUGCACCAGCUGAGUUCGGACCAACAAAUGAAAUAGCUUUAAUAUCGUCAUCAUCACAAAUAGCAUUGACAAUAUCAUUGGUGCCAUGAACAAUAUUUAAGACACCAUUAGGCAAACCAGCUUCCAUAGCUAACUCUGCCAGCAUCACAGAAGCCCCUGGAUCCUUUUCGGAUGGCUUUAGAAUAAAAGUAUUGCCACAUGUGACAGCAACAGGAAACAUCUGCUAACAAACACAUUUGAAAAAAAUAUAUAUGUAAUUAAGCCUCAUAAAUAUAUCAUAUGAAUCUCUUAUCAUUUCCCAUGAGCAAUUGACAAAAGCUUAGAUGCAACUAUCUAAUGGAAAGGCAAUAAUACUAAAAACCCACAAUAACAGGCUAAUAGGACUAUUCCAAUCAUGGCCUCUACUCCAUUUUAGCCAUCAUCACUUUUUUAUGUCUCAAGAUCAUAACUUACAGAGACCAUUGCAGUCAUACGUAUUGCAUGCUCUAGGGUAGUAUUUUGGCCAGAUCAUAGAACAAGUAAUAACAAAAGGCACGGUUAUAAUAGGCUUACCCAUAGUGGGAUCAUAGCAGGAAACUCAAAUGGGCAAAUUCCAGCACAAACACCAAGUGGCUCUCUAAUGCUGUAGGUAUCAAUUCCAUUAGACACGUUGGAAACAAACUCUCCAAUUUGCAGGGUUGCCAAUCCACAAGCGUGUACCACCACCUUUAUGAAGGAACAUCCCAGACUUUGUAGAACACAAGCACCACAAACAAGAUUAUCCAUAGAUAGUAAAUAAAAAAGACACUAGCCUAGUCCUCGUGACACAUCAGCAUAUGCAUCUUUUAGAGCCUUCCCAUGCCAGUAGUAAUGGUCGCAGACAGCAUAUCCUGGGAAAGAAAUUAUUGUAAAAUCAACCAGAUAUUGCAAGCUAAAGUGUGUAAAAUCCAAAAAAUUACAAUGUCUCUCCAGAUAAACUCUUGGAACUUGAACAUGAUUCGUUGAUGAGUGGUAUUUGGUGUGCUUCUUCAUGAUGGAAAUGCCCGCUUUGCAGCAAAUACUGCAGCUCUGAAUUCCUCAUUUGUAGUCAAAGGAACUUGAGAAACAGCUAGUUGGGUUGCUUGUCACAUAUCAGCAAAUAAUUGGAAAGAAUGACUAAAUAAUUAUUGAAAUGAUAACAUUAAGGAAAUAAAAUGAAAUGAACUUAAGAGGGCUUUAUCUAAACUUACAGGAUUUAUAACAUCGAUAAACACAAAAGACUGAAUCAACAAAUUUACCUCCAGUGAGAUUGGG
This 3375-nucleotide unclassified non-coding RNA is filed under the name Hevea brasiliensis (rubber tree). Lineage: Eukaryota; Viridiplantae; Streptophyta; Magnoliopsida; Malpighiales; Euphorbiaceae. The record is from RNAcentral.